RNAcentral lists this ribosomal RNA (459 nucleotides) under uncultured bacterium. RNAcentral describes it as "partial 16S ribosomal RNA". It matches the Rfam family "Bacterial small subunit ribosomal RNA", at positions 338 to 795 of the family's 1533-position model. The record is from RNAcentral.
CCUACGGGAGACAGCAGUGAGGAAUAUUGGUCAAUGGCCGCAGGGCUGAACCAGCCAAGUCGCGUGAGGGAUGACGGUCCUAUGGAUUGUAAACCUCUUUUGUCAGGGAGCAAAGGGCGCCACGUGUGGCGCUUUGCGAGUACCUGAAGAAAAAGCAUCGGCUAACUCCGUGCCAGCAGCCGCGGUAAUACGGAGGAUGCGAGCGUUAUCCGGAUUUAUUGGGUUUAAAGGGUGCGCAGGCGGAAUGUCAAGUCAGCGGUAAAAUUUCGGGGCUCAACCCCGUAGUGCCGUUGAAACUGGCGUUCUUGAGUGAGCGAGAAGUAUGCGGAAUGCGUGGUGUAGCGGUGAAAUGCAUAGAUAUCACGCAGAACUCCGAUUGCGAAGGCAGCAUACCGGCGCUCAACUGACGCUCAUGCACUAAAGCGUGGGUAUCGAACAGGAUUAGAUACCCUAGUAGUC